GAUUAACAAAAUUGCACUUCAAUAAAUACUGAACAUUUAGGCCGUUUGUGACAUGUAUUUUCUCGCAGGCAAUUCGUUCUGUCUGUCAAACGUUUGCAGCAUCUCUCUCAAUGCUGGUUUUUCAACUGUACUAAAGGGCAGCAUUUCUUUUGCGAUGCAGCGAACUACCAUUUUUGCUCCAUUUAUAUUUACUUUGUCGACCAAACGCCUCAGUGAGUGUUGACUUUCGGGACGAAGGCUCUGCAUCUUGAGGUGCACUUUUUUUUCCCCAGCUGGGAACACUGGGU
RNAcentral lists this unclassified non-coding RNA (287 nucleotides) under Hevea brasiliensis (rubber tree). Lineage: Eukaryota; Viridiplantae; Streptophyta; Magnoliopsida; Malpighiales; Euphorbiaceae. The record is from RNAcentral.